GUCACUCGGUGUUCUCACCGAAAGCACGUAAUCGCCGGUGUAACUCAUGUUGGCUGGGGGGCCUCCCCGCUCGCAGAAAGGCUGGGGUGCGCCCCC
Molecule: non-coding RNA, 96 nt
Organism: Rattus norvegicus (Norway rat)
Lineage: Eukaryota; Metazoa; Chordata; Mammalia; Rodentia; Muridae
Source: Rfam